GUCAUGAUAGUUCUCAGGCGGCACGCAACAGCACUCGCCGCCGCAUGGCUCCCAGUGAGCCAGGGGACCUCCCUCCGGGGGCUAUGAGGCAGGAAGCUAGCCAGCUGGAAGACUGGCGCUCCCUGCCCGUGGCUCCCCCUGCACCGGGGGCCCUGGUUUUUUCUCUCUUUAAAAAAAAGAAAUCAAAGGCAAAUGGAGAUUGUGUAUGCCAUAUUCAGGAAUUUUCCCUGUUCCCUAAGUUCAAUGGGACCCCUGGAGAAUUUAAAGCACAAUUAGACUUACAUCUUAGAAAAUUUUUUCAGAAAUAAUCUAGAAAAGCUGGGCAUGAAAGUACAAAUGCACUUUCCCAGCACUUCAGGAGGCUGAAGCAGGAGGAUCACCAAGAGUUUGAGGCCAGCCAGGGUUACAUAGUAAAUUGAAGACCAGGUUGCACUACAAAGUGAGACCCCCGUGUCAAAAAACAAAAAACAAAACAAACAAACAAAAAAAAAAAAAAGCUAGGAAACUUCCAGAGAUAUUUAGGCCCAAGAAUAUUUAUGUCACAUGAGAUUUCCAGCUUCACACCACCCAAUCAGUCUAUCUUCCCAUUGAGUCCUCCCCUUCAGAACCUUGUCUUCCGGGGGCUGGAGAGAGAUGUAGCUCAGUGGUAGAGCACUUGCCUAGCACACACUGAUGUCUUGUUUCAAAGCCUAGUACUGAAAAACCCUGUAUUUUCUAUGAAAUGACACUUAAACAUGCUCUCAAUGGUUGAUAACACCAAUUGUGUCAUUAUCACAGCAUUGUCUACCUCACAACUACGGCUCUGUGAUUCUCCCACUUAGAGAUCUCCUGCCCUCAUGCUGUUCUCCUUCCCGCCCUUCUCCUGUCCAGUUCUCGGCAUCAAUUUAUUUCUGUUGCUGGUUUUUUUUGUUUUUGCCGUCCUUUAAUAUGGGCUUAUAAUUUGAUUUCUUGCAAACUUGUCUUCUAUUGUUGACCCCACUCACACCUAGUUCUGUCACACAGUCAGACCUUCCUGCUCAAGUGCUCUGCAACUGGCUGAAGGUGGUGCUUGAUGCAUUGCACCCCGUACUGUUCAGCACUCAACACACAAACCAGCACAUGCUGGUGCUGAUUGCCCCAUGACUCAUUACCCUUUCCAUCCAAAAUGAUUUGCUUGAUACUGGUCGUUGUGGGUACUGGCUGUAUCUCCUGAAAGCAAUUAACAAGGAGUGCCAAGCUACCACUAUACUCUCUUUUCCAGCUAGGCCCACAGUCUUACAGCUCAGCUUCUCUGUUUGUCACUGGGGGAUAAGACUAUUGGAUUCCCCAUCUGCUAAGACAACUUAGUGGUAUUUUGCCUUGAACGUCUCGUGUUACCUCCUACCCAGAUGCAUCCUCCCUCCUGGAAAUUUGGAGGGUGUCUGGGUGGGGAGCUGUUGAAGACUAUACCUAUGCAAUACUAAUGGCUGCAGCUCAAAACACUGAAGCUUGUUUCCCCACCGCCUUUCCUAGCCCAUGCGUGGGUAUGGACCAGGUCCUAGCGCCCUCAAGUAAGUUAUGCACUUGUCAUAAGAAACUGAGCAAUGUUCAGUUGAGUUCUAGAAAUUGCUAAGUGUCACUGAUUCUAACUGUUCUGUCACAUGACAACCUGGCCACUCAGACUGAACCCCUUACUAACUCUGUAAGUCUUUCCCUCUCUUGUCCAGAUGGAAAAGAUGAAUGAACCCGUCAGUUCUACUCUCAGAAACUGAACAGCACUGGAGUUCUCCUAUAGUAUUAUUAAAUAUGGACUCAUACGGCCCCAAAAGGCAAAAGUUCUCCUGCUGUGCGUCUUCAAUUUUUUUCUUAAUGCCAGAAGAAAGCUACUUACUUCAUGAAAUUAUCCGCUAAAAAUAAACUUACUACAAAGAGGAAAAGAAAUCCUAAAUCCCAGGCCUGCAGACAGCUCACCAAGAGAAUGUUGCAGACUCAGCACUCUAGUUCUUGCACUGGGCCCUGUCCUACUUCCGGCCCACGCUCGAGUUUAAGACAUUCUGUAGUUAAGGAUAUGCCAUCUGGAAAACAUUCGACAAUGUCAAGCUCUUCAUGAAUAAACGAAUGAAAGAGUUAACCUAAA
This is a long non-coding RNA of Chinchilla lanigera (long-tailed chinchilla), 2095 nucleotides long. RefSeq lists it as uncharacterized. The record is from RefSeq and is a predicted model, not a curated record. Lineage: Eukaryota; Metazoa; Chordata; Mammalia; Rodentia; Chinchillidae. The transcript has 3 exons.